Molecule: long non-coding RNA, 698 nt
Organism: Sitophilus oryzae (rice weevil)
Lineage: Eukaryota; Metazoa; Arthropoda; Insecta; Coleoptera; Curculionidae
Exons: 3
Source: RefSeq, a predicted model, not a curated record
AAAUAUAAACAAGUUUUGGCUAAGAUUAAUAAUUUGACAUUACUAACUACAACAGUUUUAACAUUAACUUAUUAAUAUCAAAAUAUAGGUUGUUUUUGUUUAUAUAUCCUUAUUAUUCUACUUGAAUGUAAAAAAUGGGAACAUUAGUAGAACCUUGUUUGUUAUUUUUGAGGAAUAUAAAAUCAAAUACUCUGCAAUGGGCAGCCCAGAGACCUGUUUUAGCCCUUGUAAUUGUUAUUAUUAUAACGGGAAGUAUAUUGCCAUUCAUCAGUGCCCUAUCAUUACUUCCUGUAGUAGCUAUAUUUAAUAUCGGACAUUUUUUAGAAUCAAAAGGAAUAUUUACAAUCUUCAGUGCUAUAUUUGGCCAGGGAAUGUUCUUAGUUGUUGUGUUAUGUAUAUUAUUUACCGUAUCAUUUUUAACAGUGACAAGUGCAAAUUUAUUUCACUCCUAUCGCUCUAAAAGAAAAAAUUGAAUAUAUUAAUGACAUUAGACUUAACUUAAAAAUACCAAAAUGUUAUUUUUUAGUGUUGUCUUCAUCGUCAAUAAUCAACUGCCACAAAGCUUGAGUUAUUUCGUCUUGACUUAACUUUUCAGGAUCCAACUUAAAAUAUUUCAAUCUCUCAUUAGACACCACUAGUUUACAUUAAGAAAAUUAUAUAUAAGUUGAUAUAGAACUAGAUUAUAACAAAAAAGGAUA